This 125-nucleotide small nuclear RNA is filed under the name Arabidopsis halleri subsp. gemmifera. Lineage: Eukaryota; Viridiplantae; Streptophyta; Magnoliopsida; Brassicales; Brassicaceae. The record is from RNAcentral.
GUGAAAACACACUUAAUUGUCACUUUUGCAAAAAUUGGAAUGAUACAUAGGAGAUUAGUAUAGCCCCCUUCCUACGCAAGUAUGACACACUUAAACGAGAAAUGGUCAAGUACGGCCAUACUUUU